GUGGGGAAUAUUGGGCAAUGGAGGAAACUCUGACCCAGCAACGCCGCGUGGAGGAAGAAGGUUUUCGGAUCGUAAACUCCUGUCCUUGGAGACGAGUAGAAGACGGUAUCCAAGGAGGAAGCCCCGGCUAACUACGUGCCAGCAGCCGCGGUAAUACGUAGGGGGCAAGCGUUGUCCGGAAUAAUUGGGCGUAAAGGGCGCGUAGGCGGCUCGGUAAGUCUGGAGUGACAGUCCUGCUUUUAAGGGGGGAAGUGCUUUGGAUACUGUCGGGCUUGAGUGCAGGAGAGGUGAGUGGAAUUCCCAGUGUAGCGGUGAAAUGCGUAGAUAUGAGGAGGAACACCAGUGGCGAAGGCGGCUUACUGGACGGUAACGGACGUUGAGGCUCGAAAGCGUGGGGAGCAAACAGGAUUAGAAACCCCGGUAGUCC
Molecule: ribosomal RNA, 427 nt
Filed under: uncultured bacterium
Lineage: Bacteria
Description: partial 16S ribosomal RNA
Rfam family: Bacterial small subunit ribosomal RNA
Source: RNAcentral